RNA transcript from Gallus gallus (chicken), 7047 nucleotides. It is a transcript of the gene named purine rich element binding protein A, with no coding region annotated. The record is from RefSeq and is a predicted model, not a curated record. The transcript is spliced from 2 exons. NCBI's taxonomy places the organism in Eukaryota, Metazoa, Chordata, Aves, Galliformes, Phasianidae.
GGGGCCGGGCGGGCGGUGCUGUGCGGUGCUGUGCGGUGCUGUGCGGUGCUGUGCUGCGGGCUGUGCCGUGCCGUGCUGUGCCGCCGUGCCCUGCCAGCCCCACACCCGGGCCGAGCUCUGAACUGAGAUGAUUUGUAAUAAUAGAAUUUUACAGGUGGAGUUUUGUUUUCUGUUUUCCUUUUUUUUUUUUCUUUUUUUAAAGUUGGUGUGCUUUUAAUUGACUAACUUCUUGCUGCUGUAUAUUAAAAUAUUAAUAUAUUUUUAUCAUUAAACUGCUGCAUGACUAUCAUCGUGACGAGUGAAGAAAAGAUGUUAUAAACAAAAGAUGCCUUAAGCAGUACAGUACAACUGUAGUCGUUGGCCGGAGCUCGGCGGGCAGCGUUGGGCCGUGCCCCGCGUGGGGGGGCGCAGGGGGAGAGCAGAGCUCGGUGAGAGGAGUUUGUUUUCUGCUGUCUGCUAUUUCCAUUGAAAAUUAUAAUUCCUUUCCCCCUUCCCCCCCAUCCCCCUCUGUUUUGGAGCUGUACUGCGAGUGUCAGAGCUGUUCCCGUCGUGCCGUGCCCUCCCCGUCGGUGUUCGCAGUUAUCGAUGAGGCGUCGGGCGUUUCUGUUUCUUUAACAGUCACUGGAAAUGUUGAAAAUGGCUUUCAUGUGCACUUUCCUAUUUCCGAGCAGUAAAAUAAGCUUUCCGAGCUCAUAAUGUGACAUUCAGAACGGUUCUCAAUGGCGUGUCGGCAUCGUCAGGUGGUGCCGCUCGGGCUCUCCCACUGCGUUCCGUCCCGCUGUUACGGUGCUCUGUUGCGGGACGGGGCGCUCCGCCUCCAACCCCCGACGGCCCCGCUGGGCCGCACGGCGUUGCCCGCAUCCCCGGCCUUCAACCCCCAACCUCGGCCCGGCUGCGGUGCCGGCGGUGCGGGGUGCGGCGGGGACAGCCGUCCGGGAGCGGAGAUGGAGCGCUCCGUCCGUCCGUCCGUCUGUGUCUCCUUGGGGCUUUUCUGGUGUGUUGGUCGUUGGUUUUAGUUUUCCCCUUCCUCCUAGGACUUGGUGGAUGAUGAUAAUGAGAGAGUAAAGGACUGUAAAGGUUCGUGGGAUUUGGGCUUCCUUUGGGUUGCUCUCGCUUUUCUGGUUUUGUUUUGGUUCUUUUUUAUCUUCUUUUUUUAUUUCUUCCAUUCCCGGAGGUGUUCGGUGCUUUACCACGGCUCCGAUGUCUCAGUAUUUAAAACAAAGUGCAGAAAACGCAGUUCGGUGCGGGAGAAGCGAGGUAUAUUUGACCAUAUGUGUUGUUUCUCAAAAGGACAGUAUGCUCAAAUGUGCCAAGGUCCCCAAUUCCUGAGCAGCAUGCCUUAUUUUCCUCGGUGACAUGCUUUUAAAUGUCUUGUAGGAUAGGUCCAAGAGCACGAUAGAACUGCUUUGUAACGACUGCGUGCGAGAAAACUUGAAAUGCGUUGCAAUACUGACAUUGCUUUGUUUCUGAGUUAAAGGGAAGCUGUCAAGUAAUUGACUGCUAAAAUGCGACCUCCCUGUAAAUGGUUCUACACUAACGGAGAAAUGUCCUCCGAAAUCAAAAUCUUUUUUUUUUUUUUUUUUUUUUUGGUGAAAGAAAGAAAGAAAGAAAACAAAACAAAACAGAACUGCUCUGUCUGUGAGAAGUUAAAUAAAAACCCAGACAAAAAGCACCAGCCGCUCUUGGUCCUGCCUCUUCUUUUGCGCUUCGGCUCGCGGCCGGGAGGCGCCGGGCGACGCUCGGUGCACGUCCAGCCCCGCUCCGCCCGGCCCCGCUCCGCAGCCCCCCUUCCCCCGCUCUCCGCUCUUUGCCGGCCCGGACGGCGGGGCCAAACGGAGCCGUUGGUGGCAGUGCGGGACUGGGCCGGUUGCGGGGAGCCGCUCGGAGCCCCUCGAGGGCUGCUUCUGGGGAGCAGUUCCUUUGUUGCCUUUCGGAAUCGCACUGUAACCACUUUUUUUUUUUUUUUUUUUUUUUUUUUUUUUUUUUUUUAUGAUUAGCUGCAGUGUGACCUUUGUCCCUUCGAACUAUGCAAGCUCUUAAAUGUAAAUGAGGGAUCGGGGGAGGCGGUCGGUGCCGUUGGGUCGGAUGGCGUUGGUGCUCUAACCGGAGUGCCGACCGAUAAGGCGCAAUUUGCGCGCUGUGCGCGGGCGGAACGCACCUCUCUGUUCUGACAGCGGUGUUAAUGUCGCGUAACGGGACUGCGGGGCCGGGAGGGGACCGCUUCUUAAAAGGGGAUUUAAGACUUUUGUAACUGUUUUUUGUUUAAUUUUUUUCCAUCAAACUCCAAUACUUUUGUCAAUUCUUUAGGCGUUUAAUUUGUAAAAAUAGAUUUUGUUUUGUAUUGGCGUCCAGAAAAUAGGGAUUGAUUUUAAAUUUCUGAAGCCAAGCGAUCAAGUACAUUUGUAAUAAAAAGUCAGUGGAUCUCUACCAGCCGUACUGACUGUUUUAAUUCCGUGUACGUAGCGGUGCAGUGCCGCUGUCCCCCAGGGGCAGACGGGGGGGAAGGAGCGGUGGAGGGCAGCGCGGUGUGUCGGUGCGGCUCCGUGCCGCUCGGCGGAGAUUCGGUUGAUACGCGGUUCUGCUGAAAGCAGCCACGCUUUUUCCAUUACAGUUUGUGAAAACCUCAAUUGUGGGGCAUGUCCUCACUCCACGCUUCUCCCACCUCGAUUUAACUCAGUCCCCCAAAACGCUAAAAUCGUAUUUGAGGAGUUUGGUUUCCCGGCAUUUAAAACGUCAAAACGAAACUCCGCUCUCUGUUAGGGUGGAGAAGUGCUGCACAUUACAUCUUUGCAGCCCUGAUCUUCUCCAGGUUUUGCCGCUUUCCUCUAUUCUCCAAGUUGAAUGGAUAAAACCUUUUUUUUUCCCCUUUCUUUUUUCUUUUUUUCUUUUUAAGUGGAAUUACUGUGAGCUUUGGAUCAAAGACUUCAGAGGAUCCACUGCAUUUGGAUCCCGCACCUUGCAGAGUACGGACGCAGUUUGUUUCUUUCUUUGCUUAAAAUCCUAACCUCCCGUUGCUCUGAAGGACGCAGACAGAGUCGGGUGGCCUCGGUGGAGGCCUCGGUCUGUGGAAAUCCUGACGUGAACGUACAAGAAUGCUAAAAUGGGUUUACUUUGCGGGGAACACUUGUGGGAAAUUCGAAGUGCCACCAGAACCAGCAAACCUGGCUUUGCUAUUCUGACGUGCCGAAAACAGCCUCCGUUUCUCUUAGGUGAGCUGGAAAUCAGAGGGCGGAAGCAAGUUGCCACCUGUCUGCAUGCUCUUUUUGCUCCUUCAGAACUCUUUUGCUCCCUCCCGGCUUGGAUCAUUUGGUGAGAGGUCUCACCUGCCCCAAAAGCCUGCGAGUUUCCCCGCUAAGAUGGCUCUGUCAAGAUUUAUUUAUUUUUAAUUGCAAUUUUUAAAUCCUGUUUUGUACCUUUUUUAUUUAUUUACUUUGCUUUUCUGUCGGGCUUACCCAAACUUUCCUCUUCUUUUCUUCCGAUCCUCCUCUGCUGUUUCCCUGCUGCUGUCACCACUGACGUGUAGCUGAGGGCCACAGCUCUGCUGCCGUUUGUCUCCCGUCCAGGGAGCCCUGCGCCAGGCUUUGCACUUCUUGCACAUGCACUUCUCUCACCGAAGGUUUUGCUCUCUCGGUUUUGUUCCCUGACGUGCAAACAUAGGUGGAAGGAUCAGAAUUUUGGGUGGCAGAACGGAGAAGCUGGCUGCACGCAAAGUCCUGUCAGAAUGUUUUGACACAAGUGAAAAGACUUUUACCAGUAAAUAUCGGUUUAUUCCUGAAACCAGAAGCCCUAAACAUACCUUUGUUUAUAAGGUCAGUUGUCAUUUUGUCUCUCUCGUUCCCCACUCCCCCCAGUACAAACUGGCAGGUGAUUGAAAGGUACCAAGCUUUCUUUCUAGUUUUCCUGCUCUGCAACUCUGGAAAUGGAGCCCGCAGGACCUAGAGCCUUCUCUUGGUAACGUAGACUGAAGUUUACAAAUUAUUAUUUAACACUUUAAAGUCUGCUUUUAAGGACAGCAGUGUUCCCGUCUGCCUGGUACGGGGCUGGUAGGAAUUCCUGCAGGUGCAUGACGUAGUUCACCUUCCCAGAGCCUGUGGGCAGGUGUCUCAAAAAGCAUCUUCAGGUUUGGGCUUGGAAAGUAAUUUCUCCAAAAGUAGAUGCUGCAAAAUGGCAUUUUGGUUUUACAGUGAAGAGGAUGGGGGGAGCGAAGGGUGGGAACUGAGUAUGGAUAUGUCUUUUUCUGAUUUUUUUUUUUUAAUUUUUCUCUAUAUUCUGCUAGAAAGCAAGGCUUCUGUUUUGGAAAAGAAGCAUAAAGUGGGGAGGAGGGAGAGAAUUUGAGCAUUGCCCAUCCUAAAAUAGUUUUAAACACUUUCUCCGAGGCUGAUGGAAAAGGCAGGUGAAAGGUCUGAUCCUUAAAAGGACAUUGCUAGGUAUUUGGGACUCCAAAAGCAGCUGGUGCUUCUUAAUGACUGCAAUUGAUUUAGGUAAUUUUCAAAAUUUGGUCUAUACUAAGACAAAUCAGCUUGGGAGAGUUGAAGACUCCCUUUUUUUCCUAAGAGUUUGCAACCCAAAUGCUGCAGUACUGUGCUAAUACUUGUGAAACAGCAAAGCUGGUGAGGAAUAGAAAAUGAGUUGACUACAUGGUCCCAGCCAAUUUUUUUUUCUUUUGAAAGAACAAAAUGAAAAAAUCAUAAUCAAAACCACUCCAAGCCAAAAAAUGCAACCUCCAUAGAGCAAGCAGAACAGCAUCUCAAGUGAUUUGAUUUGGUUUUGUCAUGCAUGGUUGGCAAGAGCAUUUCUGGUAUAGCUGCAACCUAACUAUGUCCCUUUAAGACUAACUUCAUCUCAAUGAAACAAAAGACAAGGUUUUGCACUAUAGAGCAGAUCAAAGCUCCUGCAGCCUUAGUUGGAGUCCAUAAUGACGGGAGUCUUCCAGCUGUACACUCUGAGCUGAAAACUACCUUUCCUCCCCUUUUGCAGCCUGUGUGGUUCUGAUUGCUGGCAGUUCUCUAAUACAGCUUUAAUCUGAGCAGUUGAGGCUGGUCCCACCUUACCUUCAGACGUCUUGCGGAGGACUCCUGUUACCAGUUUGGUACUCAAAAGCUACACCCCACCAUGAGAAGUCAAUUAUUUUUUAAAAGGCAGUGAUAGAUUACUGUCUCUAGUUCUAAUGGAAAAAUUAUAUUGCAAUGCAACUUUAUAAUAAAUUGUUCAUAUAUUCAUAAUUCCGUGGCAAUCCCAAAUCGGAGGACGGAUCUGUUAAAGGUAUAUAUUAGUCUAGAUUUUUUUCUUAUUGUAAAUACUGUAAUUUUAUAAUACUGUCAAUAUUUUAUUAACUUAGAAAUAUUUAACAGAGUUCAAUCUAUUGUAGUUGAUUUAUUUAUAAGUUUAUGUUGCAGCCAAUAUUGAACUGCAUUCUAAUGUAAGAUUAACUUUCAGCAUGUGAACGUUGAUUUAAUCUAUCAUUGGAAAGAUUAAGAAUACAGAAAAUUCUCACUCUUAAUCUGUAAUAUUUAUCCCUUGAUUCCCAGUUCAGAGUUCUUGAUGAAAUAGUACAAGAUUUCAAAAGCUCAUGAACUGCAGUUGGAUCAUGUCAUUUGAAAAACUGAAUUUUGAAAUGUAUCUGACUUUUUUACCCUGUUGGUGGUGAAUAAGAUUGCUUCAGCAUCUAAACUUUAAAGUACAGAAGUCUUUAUUUUGAGCAAAGGGACACUCUCAGAUUAACAUUAGGUUCUUGUUUUAAGGAAAAAAAAAAAAAAGCAAAACUCACCUCCCCAGCACGUGUGUUAAUUCCGUCUCAAUCACAAGGAAAAAACAUUUUUUCUGCUGGUUUGUCUAUUUGGCUCAAAGCAUUCCUGGAGCCAUGCAGUCAGGUGAAGUGCUGGCUAUGGGCUCUCACUGCUCCAGGCGCAGGCUGGGGACCUUCACCAGGUAUGUAGGUACACACUGUGUCCUUGCAGGGGGCAGAUCCAGUCCCUAGCACUGGUUAUAACUAUUGUCAAGGUGGAUGAAAGUGUGUAAAAUUUACCCUUUGUUAGAUUGAAGUUUCCCUUCACAAAUUUGCUUUUUUUUUUUUCCCCACAUAUGUCUCUCAUUAGCCUGAUAGUGUCCCUUUAACAGUACAAAGAUGUUCAUUUUCUCUAAAAAAUUAUUACAAGUGACUUUGAGAUAGAGGAGAACUCAUCUGUAAUAUGUUUGCGACAUAACUUGCAUAAAGAUAUCAAAAAGACAAAGGGUUUUCAUGGGAGUUGGUAUUUUUUUGAGUGUUAAAGUUAAUCUUUAUUAGAGAUGUGCCAAUCUAUACUGCUUUAUUGUAGUGUUGUUACACUUAGACAUUUCAGUUAACUUAUGAAUAUAUACUGUAACAGUAUACUUUGUACAGAUUUAUUUAAAAUUUAUUUGAAAACUGAAAUAAAUUAGGCAGAAAAUAAAGAUAUUUAUUUUUCAUUUGACUAUGUAAGAAGGUAUCAUUCUUUUGGUUUUAGUGCACUGGUGUACCAAACUUCGGAACCACUGUUUUCUUCAGUUUGUAGUAUGCUUUCCAGACACUGUGGUUAUGUGUGUGUGUACUGUUACGCUUCUAAGUAAAUGCCAACAAUGGAGUUCAUUGCUUUUACACAUCCCAAAGAGAAGCUCUCCACCAUUUAUUUUCUGUUUUCUGAUCGAAAAGGUGUGCGUUUUUGAACAGUGUUGUUACAAGUCCCACCACCCCACUUUCACAUCAGCUUAUGCCAGUGCCAGGAUGGGAGGAUUUGGCUGCGUACCUUUCCCAGUAUACCACAGCCAGCAGUGGCAUCGGCAGGGAACAGUUCGAAUGUGUGUCCUUUGGGCUUUACGUAAAGCAAAUGCAGAACAAGAAAGAUCAAGAUGUUAAAUUCAUUAGAAAACAAAUUCCUCAUUGUACAGUAGUAUGGAAAUCUCUAGUCAACCUGCCAUUAAUAAUAGAGUCUUAUUUUUUUGAAUGAUCUAUUUAAAAGAACAGCAAGCAUUGUAUUUGCUAGUAAAGCUGAAGUGUUUACAUGGAAUUACUAAAUAAAUUAUUUGAUCUAA